GAUGAACGCUAGCGAUAGGCUUAACACAUGCAAGUCGAGGGGCAGCAUGGUCUUAGCUUGCUAAGACUGAUGGCGACCGGCGCACGGGUGCGUAACGCGUAUGCAACUUGCCUCACAGAGGGGGAUAACCCGUCGAAAGACGGACUAAUACCGCGUACACUUGGGAUAGGGCAUCCUGACCCAAGGAAAUGAACUUCGCUGUGAGAUAGGCAUGCGUCCCAUUAGCUAGUUGGUGAGGUAACGGCUCACCAAGGCGACGAUGGGUAGGGGAACUGAGAGGUUGAACCCCCACACUGGUACUGAGACACGGACCAGACUCCUACGGGAGGCAGCAGUGAGGAAUAUUGGUCAAUGGGCGAGAGCCUGAACCAGCCAAGUCGCGUGAAGGAUGACUGUCUUAUGGAUUGUAAACUUCUUUUAUACGGGAAUAACAAGAGUCACGUGUGGCUCCCUGCAUGUACCGUAUGAAUAAGCAUCGGCUAACUCCGU
RNAcentral lists this ribosomal RNA (489 nucleotides) under uncultured bacterium. RNAcentral describes it as "partial 16S ribosomal RNA". It matches the Rfam family "Bacterial small subunit ribosomal RNA", at positions 28 to 506 of the family's 1533-position model. The record is from RNAcentral.